RNAcentral lists this ribosomal RNA (253 nucleotides) under uncultured bacterium. RNAcentral describes it as "partial 16S ribosomal RNA". It matches the Rfam family "Bacterial small subunit ribosomal RNA", at positions 524 to 776 of the family's 1533-position model. The record is from RNAcentral.
UACGAAGGGAGCUAGCGUUGUUCGGAAUUACUGGGCGUAAAGGGCGCGUAGGCGGUUAAACAAGUCAGGCGUGAAAGCCUCAGGCUCAACCUGAGAACUGCGUUUGAGACUGUUUUUCUAGAGUACGGUAGGGGUAAGUGGAAUUCCCAGUGUAGCAGUGAAAUGCGUAGAUAUUGGGAGGAACACCAGUAGCGAAGGCGACUUACUGGACCGUAACUGACGCUGAGGCGCGAAAGCGUGGGGAGCAAACAGG